GGGGUUGUAGCUCAGUGGUAGAGCACUUGCCUAGCACGUAUGAGGCCCUGGGUUCAAUCCUCAGCACCACA
RNAcentral lists this transfer RNA (71 nucleotides) under Marmota monax (woodchuck). Its description in RNAcentral is "tRNA.Ala". It matches the Rfam family "tRNA". From Rfam's summary of the family: Transfer RNA (tRNA) molecules are approximately 80 nucleotides in length. Their secondary structure includes four short double-helical elements and three loops (D, anti-codon, and T loops). Further hydrogen bonds mediate the characteristic L-shaped molecular structure. tRNAs have two regions of fundamental functional importance: the anti-codon, which is responsible for specific mRNA codon recognition, and the 3' end, to which the tRNAs corresponding amino acid is attached (by aminoacyl-tRNA synthetases). tRNAs cope with the degeneracy of the genetic code in two manners: having more than one tRNA (with a specific anti-codon) for a particular amino acid; and 'wobble' base-pairing, i.e. permitting non-standard base-pairing at the 3rd anti-codon position. Lineage: Eukaryota; Metazoa; Chordata; Mammalia; Rodentia; Sciuridae. The record is from RNAcentral.